RNAcentral lists this ribosomal RNA (614 nucleotides) under uncultured bacterium. RNAcentral's name for it is "bacterial SSU rRNA". The stretch from base 1 to 517 matches the Rfam family "Bacterial small subunit ribosomal RNA", at positions 338 to 873 of the family's 1533-position model. The record is from RNAcentral.
CCUACGGGAGGCAGCAGUGGGGAAUAUUGGACAAUGGGCGCAAGCCUGAUCCAGCAAUGCCGCGUGAGUGAUGAAGGCCUUAGGGUCGUAAAGCUCUUUUACCAGGGAUGAUAAUGACAGUACCUGGAGAAUAAGCUCCGGCUAACUCCGUGCCAGCAGCCGCGGUAAUACGGAGGGAGCUAGCGUUGUUCGGAAUUACUGGGCGUAAAGCGUACGUAGGCGGUUAUUCAAGUCAGAGGUGAAAGCCCGGGGCUCAACCCCGGAACGGCCUUUGAAACUAGGUAGCUAGAAUCUUGGAGAGGUCAGUGGAAUUCCGAGUGUAGAGGUGAAAUUCGUAGAUAUUCGGAAGAACACCAGUGGCGAAGGCGACUGACUGGACAAGUAUUGACGCUGAGGUACGAAAGCGUGGGGAGCAAACAGGAUUAGAUACCCUGGUAGUCCACGCCGUAAACGAUGAUAACUAGCUGUUCGGGCACUUGGUGCUUGAGUGGCGCAGCUACGCAUUAAGUUAUCCGUCCGUCGGGUAGGUACGGUCGCGAAGAAGUUAAAACUUAAAAGGUAAAGUUAGUACGGCGUGAGACGUGCCGAACGGACGACGACGAAGGGGAGGUAGG